GAGAAGUUGAGCAACUUGGAGGUGAAUAAAAAUGGGAAGUGCCUUCUAGACAUAUCAAUUCCUAUUCCAAAUAGUAUAUUCUUCAGGAAAGGUGAGAUAGGCGACUGGGCAAAUCACUUGACACCUGAAAUGGGAGCACGUCUAGAUGACAUAAUGGAGCGGAAGCUCAAGGGUUCAGGCUUGAAGCUGCCCAGGUGACUGUGCCUGGGCCCCGUUUGCUUAUUAUUAUUGGCUUAGUGGGUUCGUCAAAAGCUGUUAUCAACAUCUCGUGAAACAGCAACCGUGUAUCCCAAUAAAUACCCUCUCUGUUCAUCUCUUGUAUUUCCUAGCAAGUAUUCACAUUUUGUGAAUCAUCCAUGUCAAUAAGCAAUAUUCUUUUGUGAAUCUGUGUUUGUAACUUUCAUUGAUUUCCUUGCAAGUUUGUAAGAAUUAAAAAUGGGAUUCGUUUUUUAUUUAUUUAUUUAACACAAGUGCAUGCAUUCCAUUAAUCAGUGAUAAAAAAAAAUAAAAUUACUCUACUAUAUAAUAUUAGAGUGUUUUCUUCACAGAAAUUGCAGUGUGUUUUCUUCACACUGCAAUACAUGUUUUAAAAGAACCGAGACAACCAUACAUGAGGGCGGAGCAAAUACCAACCGAGACAACCAUCCAUUAAGAUUGUUGAAUUGAAGAUCAAAUGAACAUAGGCGGCACAUCUGCUGAAAGGAUCUCGAAAUGCCUUGUAAUUGGUUAAAAUAAAGAUCAAGAUCUGUAGGAGAACUCGUGUUUUCCACUCCUAAAAUAAGCCCAGUUGCCGGCUUCAUGUGCAACAGAGGCACAUAGAGAAUCUCCCCCCCCCCCCCUCCAGGCUCAGAUCACAAAUCUUCUUACUUCAAACCAAUCUUUUGGAACCGAUAUAUAUGUCGAGUGAUGGCUUGAUUUAUACCGGAGAUUGUGUUGGAAAAUUAAAGAAGCAUGGCUUAAUUUGUACCUUGGAUGCGCAAAUUGAUUACAGGAAAAUAUCAAAAAAAAAUUUCCUUUCUUUAUAACUUAUGAAGAGUAAAAUAAAAAAAAAGUUAAUAGUAAAACAAAAUAACCCCAAGUGUACAUUAUCAAUGCAAAACUAGAUUUUUCCUUAUUUUAUAUCCCUUUCUUUUGAUAUACUUCUUCUUUUAUGCCCCUUUCUUUUGGUAUAUCUCUUCUUUGUAUCUUUUGGUGUUAAUCACUUUGUUGAAUGCCUCUGUUGAUAUCUUUUAUAACUCACUACAGUGAUUUGAACAUUGAAAAUGUUUCCUUUUAAAAAAAAAAAAUAGAGAAGGCAUUUUGAUUUCAUCUUCAAUUUUUCUGCAUGUCUUCUUCUUUCAAAGUAUUGGGUUUAAAACACAAUCAUGCUCUACAUCAUGCUUUGAGUUUUCCAGGUUAUUUUCAGAAAGAUUUGAUAUAUUUGACCUGAAAGAAAAAAAGGAUGUACAAAGCUUUGCAUUUCUGGAACGUCUUUUCAUCAUGCUCUACAUGAUUCAAUCACAUUGCUCACAUCUACAUGAGUAACCAGAAAAGCAAGUAUUUCAUCGGAUUCUACAUGAUUCGAUCACUUCGCUCACAGCUUUAUGAGUCUCUGGUGAUAUCGUGUUUAAUUAAAUAGAAUAUUUAUUAUAAGAAACAGAUUUAUCAAAUAUAAUUGAGUAUAUGCCUCAUCAUAUCAAAUAUUUUAAUUAGAUGUAACUAUCUAGGUGGUGGUUCAGUGGUAAAAGUUUGGGACCAAGAUGUUUGUUCCCUCUGUGGUCUCAGGUUCGAGCCCUGUGGUUGCUCAUAUGAUGGUCAUUGGAGGCUUACAUGGUCGUUAACUUCAGGGCCCGUGGGAUUAGUCAAGGUGCACGCAAGCUGAUCCGGACAUCCAUGUUAAACUAAAAAAAUAUAUAUAUUUUAAUUAGAUGCGUGUGUACAAGUAUUUUAAUUUAUGAUUAAGAAUUUUUUUAUAUCAAAAAAAAAUUAAAAAGUCUGUAUAUUUAUUUUUCCUUGUUAAAACAAUUAUCUGAAAUAGCCAGUAAUCAACUAACUAUGAAAGAUAAGAUUGAGAAUUGAGAAGUUUAUUUGUCAGCAGACAGUAGCUUCAGUAGAUGGAAAAAGACUCUCUAGAUCACCGGAUCAAUUCCCACCUUCAUGAACUAUUUUUUAUUAGUACAGAAAGCUUCAUAUCAGUCAAAACUCUCUCUCUCUCUCUCUCUCUCUCUCUCUCUCUCUAAAUGGAUCAGAGACUACACAAAUAUAGAGGUGGAGCUUCACAUUAAGCUUCAGAUCAAUUUUCUAUUUUAAAAUCUCAUAAGUUUGGUCCAUUGAUUGCCCUAGAUUGCCCUAGAUUUUCCUGUGUUUUAUAUCCUUUUCUUUUGACAUUUUUUUUAAUCUUUUUCCAGGCCAAAAUCCUAAUUUAAUGUUUGAAAUUGAGAUGAUAAUUAUUUAACUAGAAAAUAUAUUAAAAUAAUAUUUUUUAUUUUUAAAAAUUUAUUUUAAUCAUCACCACAUUAAAACAAUCUAAAAUUAUAUAAAAAAAUUAAAAUAAUAAGAUUUAAAAAUAUUUUUUAAACACAAAAACAAACACAAUCAUCACUCAUAUAUCAUGAGAUUUGCAUUUAGACAUUAAAAUUCAAGAAGAAAUUAAGUUCACCGUACUAUUAAUUCAGUCGAUGAAGGAUUAGUCCCAACUACUUUAGGCCACCAUUAAUUACUUUAUUUAAAUGUAUACUUCUUUAUUAAUUCAGUCGAUGAAGGAUUAGUCCCAACUACUUUGGGCAUUUUAACUCCAUCUUCAAUUACUUUAUUUAAAGGUAUCCUUCUUUCUUAGAUAUUGAAUUUUGAAAACACAAUCAUGCUAAAGAUUUGUCAACGAAUUGUUUUUUAAAAUAAAAAAAUAUUUUAAAAAAUAAUUAAUACCAUACUACCGAGCAAAUGAAGUUAUGUGGAGGGUUCCGCACCAUUUAAAGGUUGUAAAGAAAGGUUUAAAACACAAUGACGAUAAAGAUUUGCUAUCGAAUAUAAUAUGAAAUAAUAAUACCCAAUUGCAUCAGCGGACAUGUGAUCAACAAUAUUAAAAUUCUGUAAAUUUUGAUUUAAUUCAAUUAUUGGAAUUCCAGGCAGCGUGGCAAUGUCAGAAAAUCUUGGACGAUGGUGACUAAAUGUUUGUAAAUGGAGACGGCACGUUCGCGGAAGGUAAUAGUCGAUGGUGCCAAAAAUUAAAUCAGCUCUCAACUCGUUACAAAUAGCUGCCAUGGCCUUUCAUUCUACAUUAUUUUUUCUUUUUUCACAUUCAUGGAAUCCUCUUUGCCUUCCACCCAAAUCUUGGAUUCUGGUGAAAGUGCUGAGAGGAAAAAUGAAGCUAAAAAUUACAAUGAAGUCAUGUCCACCCUUCCAAAAGUAAAAGGCUUGAAUGGGUGUGAUUAUUACCUGUACCAAUGCUUUUGGUACGAUCCCUCCUUCUUGGAAGGAAUCAUGUCUGUUCAAGAGCGCUUCAAUCCUCAAUCCACUGAUAUAUUUCUCGCCAGUUUUCCAAAAACUGGCACAACUUGGCUUAAGGCCCUCACUUUUGCUAUUUGUACACGAUCCCGUUUAAGUGGUUCAACAACUAGUUCUUUACUUUCCAAGAUGCCACAUGACUGUGUUCCUUUUAUGGAAUAUGACCUUGCUCAGAACCCAAGUAAUCGGGACUUGGCAAUUCCUCUGGUAUCUACUCAUGUUCCUUACACUUGUUUACCUAAAUCUAUCAUUUCUUCUUGUUGCAAGAUUAUUUACAUUUGCAGGGACGCAAAGGAUGUUUUUGUUUCUUUGUGGUACUUUCUUGCCAGGCUGCAAAUGUCUGAAAAUGUUGAGCCUCUUCUUCUGGAAGAGGCUUUUGAGUUGUUUUGCAAUGGAAUUGCAAAUUUUGGACCCUACUGGAACCAUGUUUUAGGGUACUGGAGAGCAAGCUUGGAGUUCCCCGAGAAGAUACUGUUCUUGACAUAUGAGGAAAUGAAGAAAGACACCGCUGCUCAUGUUAAGAAAUUAGCUGAGUUCAUGGGUUGUUCUUUCACCCUAGAGGAAGAGGAGGAAGGGGAGGUGCAAAAGAUAAUAGGCAUGUGUAGUUUUGAGAAGUUGAGCAACUUGGAGGUGAAUAAAAAUGGGAAGUGCCUUCUAGACAUAUCAAUUCCUAUUCCAAAUAGUAUAUACUUCAGGAAAGGUGAGAUAGGCGACUGGGCAAAUCACUUGACACCUGAAAUGGGAGCACGUCUAGAUGACAUAAUGGAGCGGAAGCUCAAGGGUUCAGGCUUGAAGCUGCCCAGGUGACUGCGCCUGGGUCCCAUUUGCUUCUG
This 4316-nucleotide long non-coding RNA is filed under the name Populus trichocarpa (black cottonwood). RNAcentral describes it as "long non-coding RNA (PTRI_LNC002684)". The record is from RNAcentral. Lineage: Eukaryota; Viridiplantae; Streptophyta; Magnoliopsida; Malpighiales; Salicaceae.